GACGAACGCUGGCGGCGUGCUUAACACAUGCAAGUCGAACGGAAAGGCCCUGCUUUUGUGGGGUGCUCGAGUGGCGAAAGGGUGAGUAACACGUGAGUAACCUGCCCUUGACUUUGGGAUAACUUCAGGAAACUGGGGCUAAUACCGGAUAGGAGCUCCUGCUGCAUGGUGGGGGUUGGAAAGUUUAGGCGGUUGGGGAUGGACUCGCGGCUUAUCAGCAUGUUGGUGGGGUAGUGGCUUACCAAGGCUUUGACGGGUAGCCGGCCUGAGAGGGUGACCGGCCACAUUGGGACUGAGAUACGGCCCAGACUCCUACGGGAGGCAGUAGUGGGGGAUAUUGCACAAUGGGAGGAAGCCUGAUGCAGCAACGCCGCGUGCGGGAUGUCGGCCUUCGGGUUGUAACCCGCUUUCGCCUGUGACGAAGCGUGAGUGACGGUAAUGGGUAAAGAAGCACCGGCUAACUACGUG
RNAcentral lists this ribosomal RNA (468 nucleotides) under uncultured bacterium. Its description in RNAcentral is "partial 16S ribosomal RNA". It matches the Rfam family "Bacterial small subunit ribosomal RNA", at positions 28 to 507 of the family's 1533-position model. The record is from RNAcentral.